RNAcentral lists this ribosomal RNA (443 nucleotides) under uncultured bacterium. RNAcentral's name for it is "partial 16S ribosomal RNA". It matches the Rfam family "Bacterial small subunit ribosomal RNA", at positions 338 to 795 of the family's 1533-position model. The record is from RNAcentral.
CCUACGGGAGGCAGCAGUGGGGAAUAUUGGGCAAUGUGCGCAAGCCUGACCCAGCAACGCCGCGUGAAGGAAGAAGGCUUUCGGGUUGUAAACUUCUUUUCUCAGGGACGAAGCAAGUGACGGUACCUGAGGACUAAGCCACGGCUAACUACGUGCCAGCAGCCGCGGUAAUACGUAGGUGGCAAGCGUUAUCCGGAUUUACUGGGUGUAAAGGGCGUGUAGGCGGGAAAGCAAGUCAGAUGUGAAAACCAUGGGCUCAACCUGUGGCCUGCAUUUGAAACUGUUUUUCUUGAGUACUGGAGAGGCAGACGGAAUUCCUAGUGUAGCGGUGAAAUGCGUAGAGAUUAGGAGGAACACCAGUGGCGAAGGCGGUCUGCUGGACAGCAACUGACGCUGAGGCGCGAAAGCGUGGGGAGCAAACAGGAUUAGAUACCCGAGUAGUC